This 211-nucleotide unclassified non-coding RNA is filed under the name Hevea brasiliensis (rubber tree). The record is from RNAcentral. Lineage: Eukaryota; Viridiplantae; Streptophyta; Magnoliopsida; Malpighiales; Euphorbiaceae.
GUAGGGCAGAAUCCUGAAGAGAAAAGCAGACUGGAGGGAAUGCAUGGACCGCGGUGGGUGCCAGAGUAAGACCAUGGCGGCAACUUGUUCAAAUUGGGGAUGCGCUUUCCCUAAGGCCCAAAGCCAGUCAAUUCCAAGUCCCAUCUCAUCCGGUAUGGGAGAAACCAUCUGUGACAAAUUUUAUAUAGUUUUGUUUCUUCUAGAAGACCAC